UCAAGCUCUAUAAUUUUUAGCAAAACCAGUCCUAGUUGAUAUCGGAAUACUUAAGUUGAUUGGCGUGGAAGGCGAGUCUCUUGCGGCUAUCUUCUCAAAAUUUCCAACUCCCAGAACUAAAAAUUAUUUUUGAUAUCACUAUUACUAACUACCAAGCGAUAUCUAGUUCAUAAUGAAGUUCCUUGCGUUCCUCACGCUAACAACACUGGUUUUGUCGAUUGUGGCUGUGCCCUUCCCAAGAGAAGACUUUGCCAGCGAGAUUAGGAAAUCCGGUUAUUACGACGAAGCUGCUCCUCGUGAAGAGAAAAGAGCUCCUCCUUGUAUCAAUGCUGGUGGCCAAUUUUAUUGCCAUCUAGAAGUAUAUUACGAGAGAUCCUGCGUAUAUCAACAAGGAAUCAUGGUACAGAAAUGCAGAAAAAUGUGUGGAUUUUGUUAGGCCGGACGCUGUGUAAAGAGUUGUCUAUUUCCUGUAUAUUGAAAGCUUUGUAGCUGUGGAACCAUGAGAAAGUGGAAGUCAGAACGUGUUUCAAAACUCGUUUAAAUAAUCAAGCUAAAUCGUACGAAAUUCAAGUCCUCUUCUUUUUGUUCAUUAACUGAUGAUGAACGCUGACAAAAUGUGAGUUUCAAAUUCCGUUCAAUAAAAUAGCAAAACAGCGAAAA
This is a long non-coding RNA of Stylophora pistillata, 660 nucleotides long. RefSeq lists it as uncharacterized. NCBI's taxonomy places the organism in Eukaryota, Metazoa, Cnidaria, Anthozoa, Scleractinia, Pocilloporidae. The record is from RefSeq and is a predicted model, not a curated record.